This 486-nucleotide ribosomal RNA is filed under the name uncultured soil bacterium. RNAcentral's name for it is "bacterial SSU rRNA". It matches the Rfam family "Bacterial small subunit ribosomal RNA", at positions 26 to 518 of the family's 1533-position model. The record is from RNAcentral.
AGAUUGAACGCUGGCGGCAUGCCUUACACAUGCAAGUCGAACGGUAACGCGGGGCAACCUGGCGACGAGUGGCGAACGGGUGAGUAAUGCAUCGGAGCGUGCCCAAUAGUGGGGGAUAGCUCGGCGAAAGCCGGAUUAAUACCGCAUACGACCUACGGGUGAAAGCGGGGGAUCGCAAGACCUCGCGCUAAUGGAGCGGCCGAUGUCAGAUUAGGUUGUUGGUGGGGUAAAAGCCUACCAAGCCGACGAUCUGUAGCUGGUCUGAGAGGACGACCAGCCACACUGGGACUGAGACACGGCCCAGACUCCUACGGGAGGCAGCAGUGGGGAAUCUUGCGCAAUGGCCGAAAGGCUGACGCAGCGACGCCGCGUGUGGGAGGACGCCGUUUCGGGGUGUAAACCACUGUUGCCCGGGACGAACAUCCCUUUUCGAGGGACUGACGGUACCGGUGAGGAAGCACCGGCUAACUCCGUGCCAGCAGCCGC